This is a long non-coding RNA of Felis catus (domestic cat), 8896 nucleotides long. RefSeq lists it as uncharacterized. The record is from RefSeq and is a predicted model, not a curated record. The transcript has 15 exons. NCBI's taxonomy places the organism in Eukaryota, Metazoa, Chordata, Mammalia, Carnivora, Felidae.
CCUGCCGAGAGAAAAUUCAGAGAGCUUUACUUCACAAGGAUGUUUUGCUGAACAAGGAGCAAACCGUUCUCAAACAGGGAGAUUACUUGCAACUCAAAGGGGAGGAGUAAUUUUGUAGCCAGUGCGUGCCCGUAUACAGCAAUGACAAGGUAGCGGGCGGAGCGUUCCAGGCAGAGGAACAGCAGGGGCAGAGGCAAGGAGGCAAGAGUACUUGAGGGAGAAUCAAGUGUGCUUUCUGACUUUCCCACUGGGAGCUUCCCUGUAAGAGGCCCUUUGUGAUCUGUCUCCUGACGCAAACACUCAUUCCUCUGACACAGGAGUCUUCCGGGGGGCACACCCUGGCCAGUGAACACUCCCACCGAAAAGUGGGUUUCACAGAAUCUUUUGGAAUUCAGAUGCUACCCCAGAAAGAAUGGGGAGGGAAGAAAAAAGACUGGCAUUAACAGGCUCCAUCUGAAGAGUGUAGCUGAGAGACCGAGAAAGCACUGAAUUGAAUGAGUUUACCCCAAAGUGGCCAGAUUUCACUGGGUGAAAGGGAAGCUCGUGAUAAACGUGAAGUUCUACAAGAAGAAUAAAGUUGGCUUUUAUACGCCUGAAUAUGUGCUUUGUAAAAUUUGUAUCUAUAAGGCAAUAGAGCUCUUCGUGUUUCCUGGAAAACUCAUGAAUCUGGACGUGUGAGCUGUUUGGGGAAAAUGUGCACGGACUUUCCUGUCACUUCUCUCUCAUACAAUGUUAAUGUUCUACGGUCAUGGGACAGGGGUAUAUUUCCAGCCGUAGCUAAUACGUCACCUGGGAUAGCAGUGUUCGCAGAGCAAGAAGACGACCUUGACUUGCUGCUUCAUGUAGUGGUGACCGGUCUGCCCAGGAACCUGUUGGAAAAGAAGACGAGAUCUGUAUGUCCAUCUACCGAAGGAGUGACCGAUAGCACGUGCAUGGGACUCGAGGCGCCUUGUUUGUUUGAACUCUGCUUGCUUAACUCCCAAGCGACCCCACCUCAUUCCCGGUAAUGCUGGAGAAGAAUCUCUGAAAUGAAUCCACAACGUGGGAGAAUCACAGUCUAGGAUCCCGUCAUUAUCUCCUAAGAAGACAGUGUCUGGUCCCAAACAGAAAAAGACAACAGGUGCUGUGAGGCCAGAAGCUUCCGUGUAAUCCUUCGUUUCUAUUCCUGACAUCCCACAGGCAGAUACCAACCUCAGCUCCUUGAGAGUGAGCGUGAGUGGUGUGGCCAUCCUGUGUUCCCAGCACCGACUCUGCGCGUUUGCAUUUUCUCAGUCUCCCUCGCCACUGCUCCACAGUGGGCUCUUCCUGCUUCCUCAGACACAGUCAUGGUGAUCUUCCUAAGAACCCUGACAGGUCAGGUGGAGAUGUGGAGGGGGCUUCAAACCGGGCUGUGGACGGAAGGUGUAUCUACAUUGGACAUCUGACCAUCAUGUAUUUGCUACUGCAAGUCGGAGGACACAGUGAGAAGGUGCCAGCAACGAACCAGGAAGAGGGUCCUCAUGUAACAUGACUGUGUGGGAACCUUGAUCUUGGACUUCCAGACUCCAGAGCUGUGAGAAAUAAAUUCUAUUAUAAGCUACUUAGUCUCUGGUAUUUUUUUUUAUAGCAGCACAAGUGGACUAAGACAGGAUUAUUUUGUCUGCCACCAAAUUCCUACGCUGAAGCCCUAACACCCAAUGCGGCUGACUAUAUUUGGAGAUAGAGCUUUUAGGAAGUAAUUAAGGGGAGGCAAGGUCAUGAGGAUGGGGCCCUAAUCUGAUAGGGUUGGUGGACUUAUAAAAAGAGAGAGAUCUUUCUCUCCACAAACAUGCACCAAGAAAAGUCCAUGUGAGCAUAUGGUGAGAAGGUGGCCAACUAUAAGCUAGGAAGACAGUUCUCACCAAGACCUGAUUAUGUGGGCACUUUGAGCUUAGACUCUAAGCCUCCAGAACUAUGAGAAACUUAAUUUCUGUUGUUUAAGCCACCAGCCUGUGAUAUUUUGUUACGGCAGCCCAAGGAGACUGAGACAGUGAUUAAAUGCUUUGCUUCAAGUUAAAAUCAGUACCUGAUAAAUCCAGGAAGCAAACUCAGUCCUUUUGAAUGUUCAGUGAAACUUUAUCAUAUAAUAUUUUCUCUUCAACCACAGAGCAUACAGUAUACUUAGUAGGCUGUUAAUCCAUAAUGGAUCCAUAAUAAAUACUACAAAACAAACUAAUUAAACACACUAAGAAGUGUUACCUUCUAAAAAUGAAAAAGAACCGUGGAAUUGUUGUCUACAUUCUCAUAUAAUAAUAUGUAUAUUUGCAAUAGUAGCAACAAUAGCUGUACUCUCUUAUUCAAUUAUAAAAGUGGGACAUUAAAUAAGACAAUAAAUACACUGUCAAUGAAAAUCAAAAUACAUUGUAAUCAAAAACCAAAAAUCACAAUGCUGCUUUCCAAAUAUAACCAAACCUUUUGUUGUAUAUACUUCCUAAUGGUUUUCUAAAUGCACACUUUUUAAUCAAGAUGCAACCAUACUGCUCAGAUUAUUUUUAACCUUUUGUUUUCAUUUAUAGAUAUAAUUCUACAACAUUUUAAAUGGCUAUAAUGCAUAUGUCAUUGUAUAGGUAUACCAUUAUUUAUUUAAUCUCCUACUGAAUGUUUAGGUGGUCUUUAGUUUUGAGGAAUUAAUAUUAUUUCUUAUUUUUGUGAAUGUGUCUAAUUAUCUGCUUAGAGUAAAUUCUUAAGAUUCUGAUAUAUGUCAUCAAAUUAUCUUCAGCAAAAUGGGCCUGUUUACAUUCUCAUUAACAGUGCUGGAAACAUUUGAAGCUAAAUCUAAUGAAAGUUUGCCAAGACUUUUUUUUUUUUUAUUGAAGCACAGGACAUUUCCUUUUUAUUUUUAAUAUAUUUAAACUAUGUCAAGGAAAGUUGUAUAAAACUCUAUUUUCUCUACACAAAAUUAGAUUUUAAAAUAUAAUUUUACAGCUUAUUUUCAACUUUCUCUGGAGUCUGUCUUAAGUGAAAAUGUGUGAGACUCACCCAGUUGAAUUAAUUUUUUUGUUUGUUUUUAGCCACCUUGCCGAACUCUUGUAUGCUGCUCGUACCUGUGGUCAAGUGCAUAUUUAGGUAGUUUAGUCUUCACUGAAGAAGGAACAAAAUGCUCUUUAUUCUACAAUAAUUGCCUAAAUUCCUCCUGGAUCUAAGGACCGUGCAAAUGAUGAGACUAUUUAUUACUGCUUUCCAACCUCUAACACAAUGCCUAGCCCACAGUAAUCGCUCAAUAAACACCUGCUGACUACUGUCUUCUUUGUAGUCAACUACUUUCUAUUCAUGCUAAUCUAUCCUUAAUUUUUAUUGGUAAUUGUACAGUUAGAAAGUAACUGAAAGGCAAUGUGUGCUGGGGAGGAAGCAUUAGGGAGUUUUCUCAGUCUUUUAAAGAAGUGAUAGUAUUUCAUCCUAUUUAAAAGUAUUCUUUUAGAUUUUUAAAAUUUGUAAUACUUUAUCAGCAAUAUUCUCAGAUUUCAUCUGUUACACAGUAAAUGCAAGUCUUGCAGCGUUUUUGGAAAUAGAGGUUUCCUGGAACAAGGGUCACCUUCGAGUCUGCAUUCCCAACAGUUAGGUCUAUUAUUGACCAUACUGGUGUUCCACUAAAAUUUACAUUUAGAGUAUUCUUUUUAAAACUAAUUUCCUCACAAAGCUCCCCUCUGGUACUGUGCUCAUUCUCCUUUAUACGUUUCACAUUUUUUUAUUCCUAAAAUUAAUAACUUUGUGUCAGCGUAUUCUAAGGAACCCAUUCUAUUCAUUUUCUUGCCUCCAUCACCCUCCUACGUUCUGGUCCAAUUUAAGUGAUUCAAAAUGUUCAUCUUUGAUGGCUUGUGAACAGUCUUUUCCUGCUUAACAGCAUCUUUCUUUGUUUCCAUACCAACUUGGAAGCACCUGCGGACACAGAGAGGUAAACAACCCAGAGGCUAAGAGUUUACCGUUGUGUUUAAUCUACAGUCAUAGAAAUGGGUCCACAGAUGCAUUCUCCAUACACUAAAAAGUGAAAACAGUGCGGUCCUCUGCCAUGCCAUACAUUUACAUUUCAGAACCCGCGUUCUGGAAAGCACCCACAGCUUAAAGUUAGUAUUUGCGAAAAACAGGUCAACAUAGUUUACUGCAGGAUACCAACGGAUUUGCAAUGGCCGCUAUACUAACCUUGACUGGUCAGAAUAGCCCAGCUAGCUUUUCGUUUAGUAGAACGUUCUUCUACACUCGCUAGCCUUCUUUUCGUGAGGAUCUGCUGUACGCAGUCCCUUUCAACAGCAAUAUCUGCGGGCAUCGUGUCGUAGACGUUUCUGUCUGCGACAACCAGGUAUCAUAAGUGCAAUUGCUCUAGCCAGAAGAAAUACCAGCGACUGGAUUUCUAACUACUUUUUCCUUCCCUUGAGACUUUCACAAAGAUUCCUGUGUGCUAACUGGAGAAUGGCCUGGAUACUGAGCUCUAUUCAGAAACACUUGGAGCGGGGUUAGUAAGGAGCAGGUGGGGGAUGGGCCAGAAACGCAGUAGCAUUUUCUAUUUUUAAAGUGGAGACUCAGCAGCGGCCGGAAGUAUUUAACUAUUUGCACGAUACAGAAAGGAAAAAUGUGUAAAACUGCAUUUCCUACUGGGAAACAGAACAGAAACGAAUUCUACGUUUAAAAUAUGAAAGCCUAUUUGAAUUAUUGACAAGUCAAUCCCAUGUAAAAUUGCCCCUUGAAAACAGCUACAGACAGAACGGUAGAGCCAGAAAGUUCUGUUGUGACCAGUGAGUGGUUAGCCUUUCUUCUUCAUCCUCGGGGGUAAACAGUGUUUGUGCAUUAGGGUCAGCUGGUACGUAGCUCAUGUUCGUUUCGUAAGAAUCUAACUUUAGAAUUGGCUUCCCUACAAAAUCACAGUCCUGUUAUUAUUUAUAUAGGCACAGCUCACUAUUGUGAUUUUUUUGGAGGUCAUUUCUAGGCCAAAAGGCGUCAGCGGUCAAUUUAAGUACAACAGAUCUUUCACCCUAAAAGGCAGAGCAGAGCAGAGAGGAAAAACCGCACCUGUGCCUCGUAUUUUUUGCUGGCAUGUAAGUUAGAACAGGGGACGCUGUCCAUGACUGAGUCAAGAGCAGCGGCUGAACCAUGGUUGGUCUCCAGGGAUUAACUGAGCUGGCGGUCAUGUUACACAGUAUUAAUAUAUUGAGAUCUGUCUUGAUGAAAAACGGUCAUAGAGUCUGUUACCUACCUUUACUUUUUUAUCACUAUUUUUUAGACUCCACCUUCUGUUGGCAUAUACAGAAAAAAAAUUAUUGGGGUAUUGCCUUUACAUAACAAGCUGGGUAAGAACAAAAACAUUUCAUGCGUAAAAUUAUUUCCCAUGCGCUACCCCGUUAAUAGUUGCUGCCAGAUUACCUUGCCAGUAUUUACCUCCAAGUCAUCACUAAUAAACACCAAUAUCUUUCCCUUAUCUUGAAUUAAGCUUUCAUCCUACGAUCUAUGUGAUCUGAGGCAAGCAGCUUAAUGAUACCUCUUCUGUAAAAUGAAGAACUUGGAUACGAUGACCGUCUUCUGGCUCUAACAUCCUUUGAUCCCAUUCUUUGAUUGGGAUUCUAUGACUGACAUACAAAGGGCAAGGGUAUACGAGCUGGGCGCAUAUUACAUUACCACAAAGGAGGCCACACCUUCCCAGGAAAAUGAGCCCAGGGCCAACUCAGCUGAGGCAGUCUGUAUGGGGGGCACAUUCCUAGGGGUCUGAGAAGGCUGAAGGGUGGUCGAUGAAGGGGCUUAUUCAGUCCGUUCCCUCUCCAUGUCCAGUUGUCACUAACUGUAGGUUUUUGUCCCCAGGUGGUGGCCACAGGGGAGUGUGCUGAUCUAUACAAGCCGCACGGUACAGAAAUCGAAGUUCAGAGAGGGUAGGUGCUGUCCUCAAGGUCAUCCAGAACAUUACCAGCGAAGCAAGACUGGAACCAGCCAGGAUUGUCCGCUCCGCACCAGUGUUCUUUCCAUCUGCCCUCGACAUCGUGGGCAGACACACUAAACUGGUGAGCAUAAAACCAGGAAGGCAAAAACAGAUCUAACCACCUCUGGCCCCUACGCCGUAAGGUUUCUGUAAGGACUAAAUGAGCUCAUGAUCGCAAGGGCUCCGGACAGCCCGUGGCGUCGGACGGAGACCGGAGUUGGUGUUUGCUCUCAGAUUCUCAUAAAACGACACUUUCCUCGUCCUUCCUUCUCUUUCCCCGCUUGGUUACAACGUUCUGUCCCUGCCGACUGCCAGCCUGAAAUUUACACAGGUCCACAAACCCAUACAAGGAAUGAAAUGGGCAACCCGUGUUCUCUAGUCUGAGCCCGACAGCUGCUGGGGAGAAAAUCUGAUAUGCGCCACGGACAAGGACUUAACCUGCCAGGGAUUAAGAGGAAAGAAAAUAAAAGGGCAAGAAAGUUUGGCAGAGAAAGUUAGUAUCUGGUGCUGUGAUACUUUGGAGGCUCCUUCCACGGCCCUCACUCCAGAAAAACAAAGAGAAAUUUGUGAUACGCCAUUGUGCUUUGACAGCAAUGCCUUUGCGGGAAAGGUGAGGUUUUUCUACAGCAGAGCCGUGAGCAGGUUGGCCCAGGAACAUUCCCGUCUGAAGGAUUUCUGUCAACAAGAGUUCCUUUGACAGAGGAAGAUGGCAGAAGAAAUGUCUGCAAGUUGGAAAAUGAGCUUAAUGUGCUAAAUCGUUGCCGGAAUCCACAGAACCGCCAGAGAGCCACUCCGAAGACGUGUCCUGCUGAUUCCACGAGGAGGAGAUGCCCAGAAUGUGAAAUCAUCAAAAAGUCAAGAGAAGCCUUCAUUGGACCACCAACCUCAGCAUUAAUUCAGCGUUUUCUAUUCCCUCCUUGUCUUGACCGUUCUCAGGCCUCAGCUUUUCCUGACAUUUUGGCUUCGUUUUCCUUGGAAAUUGCCUCAGCUUGGCCUGGUGACCUUUCCACGUAGUGUGCUUUGGCGAGCUCCCCCACCUGGCCUUAGACGGUAAUGUCUCCAAAGGCAGUAGGGGGCUCUGUAGGUAUUUCGCAAAGAUAAACAAACGUGAACAUGCCUAACGCCGAGGUCCGUGAAGCCAAGAUAAGAUUUUCCUUCAUACGUAUCUAGCACUCACUCAAAAAUAGGGGAGCACGAAAAGAUGUAUGAAUAUGAAUGGAAACCAGCACAAACAACAGACCCAUAGGUAUUCGAAGAGUGAAAUUUCCAGAAACGUAGUAUGUGUCAGGUAUUAUAUUAAGCUGAUAGAGAUAGAAGUCAAACUUCAACAUCUCAGCAAGAAACUGGGAUCUUUAAAAAGGACAUCACAGAUUUAAAAAGAAAAUAGAAAAAAAUAGAUGUCUUGGAACUAAAAAAAACACAGUACCUGAAAUUAAGAACUCAAUAGGUGGUGUUCCAACAGAUUAGAUACAACCAAGAGAAAGUUAGCACAUCUGAAGACAAGUCAGUACAAACCAUCCAGGAUGAAAGGGGCAAAAGAAAACACAAGAGGAAUGGAAUUAGAAAAUCUAACAUAUAUUUAAUCAAGGUGUUAGGAAAGAGAGAAUGUUCAGAAGCGAAAUUUGGAACGAUAACAGCUGAGAGUAUCCCAAAACUAAUAAAAGAUAUCCAUCCACAAAUUCCAGAAGCCCGAUGGCUCCCAAGCAGGCUAAUUGAAAAAAACAAAAAAUCCUCCUCAUCCAGAACUAUGAAGGAUCUGAGAUAUUAUUCGACUUGCCAUGUAAUAAGUAAGCCCGCCGUAGUUUCUUGGCUGCUGACAUCACCACAUGAGCCUCCUGGGUCAAAGAUUGUAUUUCAGGUCAGGGGACAAGAAUAGAGUAUUUGCAUCAAUUCCUCUUGCCUCCAAGGCCCUCAGGGACAACACAGAGGGGCCCAGGUAUGUGCUGCACGUGUAGUGGAUUUGUGUCACAGCUGAGGAACUCCAGGCUUUAGCAGUCCCAAUCUUUUGUGAUGGGCGGUAAGCCGGACUAAACUUCGCCCUGAAGAGAGACUAUUAUCAUUAUAUCAUGCUAUGCACAAACUUGCCCUCUGCUCCAAAAAAAGACAUUGAUCUCUAUUUCCCAAGGCUAUUUGCUAUGCAAACGUCCUUUAAAGGAGAGUCUAGAGAAAAAGCAGCAAGUACCUCUGCUUGGAAGAAGAGCACAGACUCAAGAGACCCAUGGAAAAUUGUAUGCCAACAUCUUCACCCUUCAUUUCUAUACCAUCUUGGCUUCUGGCUGGUUCUCCCAAGAGUCACUCUUUCGGCCACUAUGACUGACCUGAAGACUCAACGGAAACCUUGGCAAAGGCUGGGACCAAAUCCAUCCAAUUUCUCUCACACAACAGGUGAAUAAGGCUGCUAUUUACAAGACCCCAAGCAGCGGGAUGCGGAAAAUCUUGCAGUACCGAUGUCAACCAUUCCCUCUGGAGUCCCGGACCCAAGCAGCUGAAAAAUUCCCCCAGGAAGCAGCUGGGAGAGGAUGGCCCUUUUCUGGAGACAGCCACAUGCCGUGUGACCAGUCUGCCUCACCCGGGUGUGUGGAUCAGGAAGAAGUGUGACAGACUGCAUAACCUGCAAUGCCAAAUUUUACAUGUCCGAAUCAUUGAUUUGGAUGAAGAACGACUCAUCAAAGUCCGUUUGGGUUGGCAGUGAUCUCGGAUUUGAAUAUUGAGCCUCCAGUGCAUAAAUGGGACCAGAGGGCUUCUAACCACCUCCGAUGCUGUCACUUUGCAACCUUGAAGCAACGCCUUCCCAGGCGCUGGAGGGCAGGAUGUCUUAUCUGCAGGUGGCAGGGCUAUUCACAUCUAGCUCUUAGACCCAGGGCUUUGCCCCUGAGGGCGUGUUUCUGGCCGAGUUUUCUAUUGCUUACUCUUCCCCUCCUCCCCAAACCUUGUGCCAUUCUUUUACUUCUGGUAAUAGCAAAUACAUUAAACAAUGAA